UUGGAAAGAGAAAUGUUGAGAGAUAUCAUUCAAAUAACAGUAAUUUACAAACAAAUUGCUUGUUAGACUUCAGAGCUUCUGAAUCUUAAUAAGAACAUUAACUCAUAAACCAUGUUUGGAGCUUGUGAUUGCAUGAAUUACAUUAACACUGAACUAGUUUAGAUAAAUGACAGUAUUAUUUUCUUCAGUAUUACAGUAUUAUUUUCUUCUUUUUGUGCAUCUACUGAUGGUUUUAAAAAAGUCACGAAAUUUCAAACAUACAAGUACACACAAAUGCAUUUCCAUUUCAGUUUUCAGUUUUCCCUAUAUAGAACAUGCUCCAUUUUGUUCAUUUACGGGACUGAAUGCACAGAUAACAUGGAAAGCUACUGAUUGAUACAACUAUGCAAAUACCAAUUAGAAAAGAGCCAAGCAACUCAAAUUAAUGCUACACAGUCUCCCAGGCUUCUUGAAAGACCCGAGCAAGGUCAUUUGGCCUCUAGGUCUUAUCAAUAGAAAGGAGCUAAUAAUAAAUCUCAGUUCCAUGAGGCCACUGUGGAUCUUGUGUUUUUCACAAGUCCCCAAUAGAAAGCUCAGUCCACAUAAGUGGAAAGGAAUGUUAUUAGCACACUUGCUUCACAAGUCUUCUCUGCUCUUCCUCCCCAAAGCUGAAGAUACUAAGACAAGAGCUACAGUUCACAGAAAGAAAGCAGACAGCGUCCCUUUAUAAAUGGGAGUAUGCAGCUGCAUUGCUCUCAGGAUAAAGGCAUCAAUUUUAUUCCUCUCUGUGGAAUGAAGUCUAAUUAUACAGGGCAAGACAUAGAGACCCUACUGCAAGUGUCCUAAGAAGAAUGCCCUCCCAUUUUACUGAAUAAGGGGCCUUCAACCCUUUCCACUGAUAAACCAUUAGCAGCCCAGCUCAUUUGGAAGCCCCUGUCUACUAUCCUAUAGAUCCUUGUCCAGUGCAAAGCAAAGGGAGGUCUUAGAAUCACAAAGCCGUUACUAUGGUAGCCGUCCUUCUCACCCACAUUCCCACCAUUAUGGAAUUAUCCCUUUCUGAAAUGUCCUGUUGUGUCUGUAGCACUAGAUUUCCCCUCCCCUUCUGCAAUACUCUCCAAGACCUCUAAGGCAGCCAGAGGACUCCAAAGGCACAGUGUAAAAGGCAGAGGUCCAAAGAGAGAGGCUUUAAUGAGCAGGGAAAACAUUGGAAUAUUCAUAAAUACAGUAACAAUUAGCAACUCCCUCCCCCAACAGCUUAGCUGGAAUUAAAAGUUUCAUUCACAACAGGCAUGUUAUCUCCCCUCCUCUUCUGUGAGCAAGAUGAUAAAGGAAUAUCACACCUAGCAGAACUCUAUAUAGUGCAGCUCCCUUUUCACUGAACGUCCUACAGUCAACCCCUGAUGGAACUUUUCACAGCGGUGUUCUUUUUCCUAAAUUUGCUGGUGUUAUAAAGAGCUCAAAAGUUUUCAUCACAACUCGAUCGGACUGCAAGCAAACUGCAAGAGGUAAGAGCUUUGGUAUCAGAGUGGGCAACAUUUAUUAGCCUAGAAAAUACAGCAUCUCCUAACUUGCAUUGGUGUUUCCAAACAAACAGUUUCUGUUAUUACUGUUCAAAAGGUGCUGUCUAUAAUGAUAAGAACACAGUUGGGUGUUCUAUUUAAUAUUACUAGAUGUAUCCAUAACAGAAGAUUGCUAAUUAAAUAUUACAUUUAUAAAUGAAUUACCCGAGUUACAACAAAUUGAUACAAGUUUAUUUUUUAAUUUUCAUAAUACUCAUAAGAGUAUUAUGAAGUAUCAUUCACUUUGGAAGAAUGAAAAAUGAAAACCGUUGCUGUUCUAAGAAAAUAGAAUAGCUGUGAUUUCUAAUGUAUUUUUAAGACAAUUAGCUAUGAUUCCCUUAAGAAACUAGAGAAUUGAAUACAAACAAAAGACAAUCUGCUGGGAAACUUGGGAAUGUUUGUUCAAGCUUCAUUAAGACAUAAAGUAAUCCUAUUUUUUUGCUGUAGAGGAAAUUAUUUUAUCUUUUUUGAAAUAUCUGGAACACUGUGGUCUAGUUGCAAAAUUAACAUUUGCAAUUAGUAUAAAGUAUUUUAAGUUCCAAGUAAUAUUAGAGUUAGAGCCAAAUAAUACUGAGUUUUCCAUUUAUAUGAUUUCUAUGCUUUUCAUUAUGUCUAAAGAUUUGAAUGAGAUUAACCAUAGGACCAGAAGCUUUUCCGGUAUUUAUAUCACUUUUAUUUACAAAGAUGUGUCUACAAAGCACUUUGAAUCAAACAAAUGGUGCAUGCAAUGCACAGUAUAUACCGCUUCUGUGGAACUUCAAGUGAAGGUAUUUAUAUACAUAUAUACAUAUAUGCAUAAAAACAUAAUAUUGCAUAUUAUGUAUGGGGAUAAUUAGGCUUGUGUACCUAUGACAAGUAGGGCAAUUAAUUGAAAUAUGGCUAACAAAAAAUUUUAAAAUAGAACAUUCUCUCCUAGAAUUGUACCUAAUUUUCAUGCAUAGUUUAUAAAAAGAAUGGCCACAAUUCUUGUGCCCAUAUAUAAUGUGUUUGUUUAUGCAUCUAAUUCUAGAAGAUCUCCCGAUUAUUUGGAGGUGGGUUUUUCAAAAGUCUGGGGAGGGGUUAUCAGACAACACCUAAUCAACAUCCAAUAGCAAGAAAAAACCCAGCAAGUUUUACUAGUUCAUAUAAUAAAUAAUAAAAUAUAGAUUUCUUGGUAUUGUAAUAUUUUCAUCCAGGUUUAUUUAUUUGAUAUUUCAGGCUCUCAUUGAAGACCAGUUGUGAGGAAUGAACAGCCAACCAGACUCUUCAGGCCUGUUAUUUAACAUUUCAAAUUCAGAGCAAUGUGGCAAAGAGAGUCACAUGGAAAACAUCCUUUUUGCUAUUUUCUACCUUCUCAAUUUCAUCCUAGCCUUUUUGGGCAAUGUUUUGGCACUCUGGCUCUUCAUUCGGGACCAAAAAUCAGAUACCCCUGCCAACGUUUUCCUGAUGCAUCUUGCUGUAGCAGAUCUGUUUUUUGUGCUCAUCUUACCAACUCGGUUGGUCUACCACUUUUCAGGCAAUCACUGGCCAUUUGGAGAGCUCCCUUGCCGACUCACAGGGUUUCUUUUCUACCUAAACAUGUAUGCGAGCAUCUACUUCCUCAUGUGCAUCAGUAUAGAUCGCUUCUUAGCUAUCGUGCAUCCUGUGAAGUCCCUCAAACUCCGCAGGUCACUCUAUGCUCAUUUGACCUGUGCCUUCCUGUGGGUUAUAGUUGCCGUGGCCAUGGCACCUCUUUUGAUCAGUGUGCAAACAGUUGAGAUGAAUAAUACCACCGUCUGCCUCCAACUCUACAGGGAGAAAGCAUCACGCCACGCUCUUGUCUCCCUGGCUGUCGCAUUCACUUUUCCAUUUUUUACUACAGUAACCUGCUAUUUACUGAUCAUACGAAGCCUGAAGAAGGGGCACCGCAUUGAAAAUCAUCUGAAGGAAAAAGCCAUCAAAAUGAUAAUCAUGGUUCUUACAAUCUUCUUGGUCUGCUUUGUGCCCUAUCAUGUCAACCGCUACAUUUAUAUCCUCAAUUAUGAUGGUGUGAAGACUUCUUGUGCAAUGCAGAGGAUCCUGGCACUUGGCAAUCGCAUUACUUCAUGCCUCACCAGCUUAAAUGGUGCCCUAGAUCCUGUCAUGUAUUUUUUUGUCGCUGAAAAGUUUCAAGAGGCUUUGUGUGGUUUGUUUUGCCCCAAAAGAGUUGCAAGAUUACCUUCAAGUUAUGAUGGGAAAACAAACGACAGCUCUUUAAGUGCUAAAUCUGAACUGUAAAAUACCUGAAAACAAAAAAGUUCCUUAAAAGAAAUUUGCUGUCCUGUACGAUUUGAUAUCCUAGAAAGUAGAAAUGCUUUUCUACAAAAACACAAGGCUAUACAACAAUCCUAACUGGGAAGGAGUAGUGAGGUGGUAGAUGGUGCCAUUUCGAAAGCCCUGCUAUUUCUAGUUGGCCAGAAUGGAUAGUAUCUCCCUUUUUUUUUUGCCUUUUCCGUAACAUUUUUAAUUUUUUGGGAUGGGUGAGUGGGGGGGAAUUACAGAGAUGAUAGUUACAAAGACUAUCAGGACACAUAAUUAUUUUGAUUUCCUGGAAUAUUCUUUUGAAUGUUACUAUCAGUGGAAAUAUUGCCAGUAAGAUUUUUCAUAAGCAUUCUUUGAAUCUACAGACAAUUAAAAGGCAACUUUACCUUAUCAUAACCAUUUCAAGAAUUAGAUCAGAUUGUGUGAAAUUAUAAAUCUUGUGAUAAUUGUUGCAUAGAAAAUAGCACCAAGUAAUAAUUCCAUUAGGAUAUAAAUUGAAAUUUUAGUGAACAAAAGUUUGGUAACUUCUCCAGAAAAUAAAUGUUCAUAGGUGAUGAAAAAAAUGACCAUUUAAAAUAUUAAAACAGUGGAUAGAGAAGUUUUAGUAAUACCCAGGUACUGUCCAAAUCCAAGUUGUUAAACAUUUACAUCUACAGUGCAAACUUUUGAGAGGUUUAUGAAUAUGGGGUUUAGUUUGAAACAAAUUUUAUAACUCUCUCACCAUCAUUGUAGAAGAAUACAAAAGCUGCUGAUGCUUUUUAUUACAUCUCAAGAUGAAUAAAUUACAAACAUCACAUUUGAACAAAGUGUUCCUUUUAAUUACAUCUUUGGCUGGAGAUACCAUUUUCAAUAGCAAUGAAUGCACAAACCACAAUUUAUUUUAUAUGCAGAUUUUUUAAUAUGACUGAAUAUGGUUAAUGCAUUCUUAGAAAGCUUGCUACAAAUCAUUAACUAAAUUCUCUUUAAUAAUGUAAGAUGUAAGUCCAGCUGGGCACUUAGCCCUACUUAGACUGAGUCUGCCAUAGUGUCUUAGAACAAUGAUGAUCUGAAGCUGGAGCAACUGAGCUUGCACAGCUACCUGCUUUACUUUGCCAGUGUAACUUUGCCGCAGUUCUAUCACAAGUUUGUACUAUCAUGUUUAUUAUCUUUCUACAUGAACCGCAGUGGCACAGUGGUUAGAGUGCAGUACUGCAGGCUACUUCUGCUGACUGCUGACUGCCUGCAAUUUGGCAGUUCAAAUCUCACCAGGCUGUUGACUCAGCCUUCAAUCCCUGCAAGGUGGGUAAAAUAAGGUUUUGGUUACUAUCUUUAAAGCGCUCCAUGGCUUAGGGCCAGGGUACUUACGGGACCGCCUACUGCUACCCCACGCCUCCCACCGACCCGUACGCUCACACAGAGAGGGACUUCUCAGGGUGCCGUCCGCCAAGCAAUGUCGGCUGGCGGCCCCCAGGGGAAGGUCCUUCUCUGUGGGGGCUCCUACCCUCUGGAACGAACUUCCCCCUAGCUUGCGUCAAUUGCCUGACCUCCGGACCUUUCGCCGCGAGCUGAAGACAUAUUUGUUUAUUCGCGCGGGACUGGCUUAAAUUUUAAAAUUUUAAUAUUUUAAUAGGGAUUGAAUUUUAAUUUAUAUUUAAUAUAAAUUUUAGGGGUUUUUAGGGGUUUUAAAUUUUUUGCCAAUUAUAUAAUAAGUUUUUUAAUUUCUGUUUUAGUUGUAAAUUGUCAAUGUUUUAUAUUGGCUGUGAACCGCCCUGAGUCCUUUGGGAGAAGGGCGGUAUAAAAAUCUAAUAAAUAAUAAUAAUAAUAAUAAAAAUAAAAUAGUUGGAGGCAAUAUGCUGACUGUAAACGGCUUAGAGAGGGCUGUAAAGCACUAUGAAGCGGUAUAUAAGUCUUAAGUGCUAUUGCUAUUGAUACAUUUCAGAUCCUAGUCAACUUUAUACUCUGCAUCUUAUAAGUUUUUAUGUUUUCCAGUAUGUUUAGAACAUAUGCACAUACAAGCUAAAUGUUUGGCUAAAACAGUGUAAAUUACUCCCAUUUACCAUUUAGUAGUUCAGUUCAGUUUUCUAAAUUGAAGUAUGCUGUGACCACAAAUACCUAAUAUCUACUAAAGGAAAAGCACAAGGACUGCCUUUAAUUUUUCUAAAAAUUAUUUUUAGUAAUCUAAACUUUAGUAGAAGAAAUAUAAAAUACAAAGAUAGGUUUGGAGAAUUCACAAACAAGAUGUUUAAUUUCCAAUAAUUAUUUUUAUUAAGGAAAAUAACAUAAAUGCUAAGAAUAGGCUAGAAAAUGGAAAGUUGCUGCAUGUAUUUUGAGACUAUUCUAUUUUGUUUUUUCCCCCAAAUUUUGCAUUUAUUGUUUUUUAUUUUUACUUUCUUUAUAUUCACAUUUGUACUUAAAAUGUAUAUUUAAAAAAUGUUAUAUUUCUUACAUAACUGAAAAUACAUUCAAAAGGAGAAUAAAGCAAUUUUGUUUAUACUGGUGCAAAAUUCUGUCUAUCCACCAACACUGUUGGUAAGUAUUAUUCAUCUUAAUAUAAUUAUUUAUAAAGAGGCUUAGCUACUUCCUGCCAUUUUGUCUAAAAGAAUUACCGUUUUGAGAAUGGCUGCCAAUACAUUCAAUCUCCAGACUUUUUAAAGACAUCUCUUCCUUUCCAUAACUUAUUACUAGCUUAUACAAUGCAUUCAACUUCACAUUUAGUUUCUAUGCCUAUAUCUGCUAACAUUUUAAUAUAUAAAAUGCAGAUACAGUUCUAUCUA
Molecule: RNA transcript, 6550 nt
Organism: Ahaetulla prasina
Lineage: Eukaryota; Metazoa; Chordata; Lepidosauria; Squamata; Colubridae
Gene: GPR17
Gene name: G protein-coupled receptor 17
Exons: 2
Source: RefSeq, a predicted model, not a curated record